Long non-coding RNA from Clupea harengus (Atlantic herring), 913 nucleotides. RefSeq lists it as uncharacterized. NCBI's taxonomy places the organism in Eukaryota, Metazoa, Chordata, Actinopteri, Clupeiformes, Clupeidae. The record is from RefSeq and is a predicted model, not a curated record. The transcript is spliced from 3 exons.
UUUUUGUAAACUCACAGUGAAGAGCUGUGCAGCUUUAUCUUCAGCUCUCAGCUCAAACUCUUCCAGUCUGAGACAGCUGGACCUGAGUGGCAAUAAUCUGCUGGGAGAUUCAGGAGUGACGCUGCUUUCUACUGGUCUGGAGCAUCCAAACUGCAGACUGGAGAAACUAAAGUUGUGGCGCUGUGGCCUUACAGUGAGGAGCUGUUCAUCUUUGGCUUCAGCUCUGAGGUCAAACCCCUCCAGUCUGAGAGCGCUGCACCUGGGAGAGAACAAACUGCAGCAUUCUGAUGUGGAGCUGCUUUCUGCUCUACAGAAAGAUCCUAAAUAUAAGCUGACUGAACUAGAGUAUUAACUGGGCAGCCAUCAAUCAUCCACCAGUCUGACUGGAGUAGAGCUGCUGCAGAUGCUGCAGUUUCCAGACACUCAGUACCAGAUGAUCAUCCAGCUGCCCCACGGAUCAGCACUGUGUGUCUACCUGUCCACUGCUACACUUUAAAGGGUUAUUUAGUUUUCUAGUGAUACAUAAUCACCGUCUCUAAACUGAUUUAACUACUUAUGAUGCCUGUUUCCUAGGCGUGACCUAACUUUUGUGUCCUAUAACUAAUGUUGUCAUUAUUUUGAAGGCCUGACUUUGUUCUAAUUAUUGUUGGUACCAUUUUACCACUUUGUAUAAUGAUAAUAAUGUGUAUUUCUUUGACACAUGAUUUCACCCCUGUGCUGUGGGCCUGUGGUGAUAUGGUUGUAAGGUGGUAUGAGUUCAGUUACCUGAUGAAAGGGUUGAUGUGCCGUCACUACACAUGAUACCAUCGAGCAUGGCUCUUUAGAGUUGUACAUAUAACGGCAACGGUAUGUACAUAUAACGGCAAGAUCAGCUUGGUGGAAGUGAUGUGGCAGCGGUUUCCAUAAUUAAAAA